CCUCAUCAUGUAUCCCUUGGUAAUACCCCCCUCCCCUCCCAUCUUUACCCCUGCUGUUUUUAUGCCUUUCAUUUUCCCUCUCCUUGUCUUUGCUCUCCUUGGUGAUGACCUGACUUGUUUUUGCUGCCAGGAUUUAUCCAGAAAACGUAUUAAAGUCCCCCUCGUCCUCGUCCUCGUCCGCGUCCUCGUCCUCGUCCGCGUCCUCCUGCCCCUCCUCCUCCUGCUCACUGCAUCCACCGGGGGGAGAUGGACUCUUACUGACCGAGGGCACUUUCCAAGGCCAGUGAGCGUGUGCAUAACCAUGGAAACGGACACUUCAUCCUGACUCACACCCCUCCUUCCGACCGACCGACCUCCUUCCCUGAACGCUCACCCCAAAGUGAUGGAAAACACCCCCCCCCCCCCCAUUGCCUCCCCUGCAUCAUACAUGUAUACACACACACACACACACACACACAUUCAUCUACACACACACAUGCAUUCAUAUACACACACACACACACACACACACAUGCACACACCUACUUUCUCCACAACCUCCCCAGAACAAGCAGUAAACAUGUAAGCCCUUGAGAUGGAGCCUUUUAUUCCCCACCUUCAGCCUGUCAUUACCCUCUCAAACACACACGCAGAUGCACAUGUUCUCAGAUACUGAUGCAAACCUCAUCACACUCACUCACUUACUCCUUCACACACACACACACACACACACACACACACACAUACACACAGGCAAACAUACAAGUGCACACAUACAGCUCUGGGAUGUACUAAAAAAUGACAACAAGAAAAAAAACAAAAAGACUUGAAAAGAGGAGCGAAGAGGCCAGGAUGUAAACGAAGCCUUGGGGCGUCUGUGGCUAGUCUUAUGGAGGAGUGUGGCGCUUACUGGAUUGUAUCGUUUCAUUUUUAAAUGUAAACGUUUUUUGUUGUUCUCUUUUUUUUCCUAUAAUGUUUCAUUAGACUCAGUACCAUUGCUGCAAAAGGACUGGAAUCCUUGUCUGAUGGUAGGGGUUUGGGGUUAGGGUUGGGAUUAGGGUUAGGGUUAGGAUUGGGUUUGGGUGGGGGGGUGGGCGGAGGAUACAUGAAGAAUGAUCUGAUCUGUUGUACAGACUGAAUCCAUUUCUUAUGUGAAAGCAAGCAAACAGGAACGGUCUGGAUGUAACACUACAUAGUCAUGGUGAUGGACCAGAUUUAUAACUUGUUUGCCAUACAUUAUCAUUUGUUUUUGUUUUCUCUGCGUUAUUUUUGUUUUUCUUCUAAAUUAUAAAGCGAGAUCAUCCUUUUUAGUGUUGGAAUUAUUAUUGUUCCAUUCUUAGUUGUAUAUUUUCAUUCCUGUCAGAUUUUUUUAAUUGUCUUGAUUAUCUGCCGUAGGAAUUGGAAAACAAGUGUUAAAUGCAAUUGUGGAUAUUUUUGUACUGUUCCUUAUUUAUUCUCUUUUUCAUGACCUAAUUUAUUACCACAUGACUAUGUAAAUGAAGGACAACUGUUAGAGGAAUUGAACUGAAUGUUAUUUAUUUACUGACCUCCUGAAGUGUUUGUAUCGGGGCAACAGUUUUGUUCAUUUUCAGAGAAAAAAAAAACUUCCUUUGUCCUAAUUUAACAGAAUUAUGUGACCAUUGACAAAUAUUAUGUUCGCUCCUAGCAUCAAAGGUUAAAAAAAUGUAGUAUAUGUUUAAAAAAAAAAAUAAGAAUUUACCAGUAAUUUAAGAAUGUAGACUAGCCUCUUUGGAGGGAACUGAUCUUCUCUUGAUAUUUGUCAGUUUCAUAUCAUUGUGCGUGUACGAUGGAUUGAGACAAAAGCUACUCUUGAAUCAGUUCUCUUGUAAAUAGAACAAAUUUGAACAUGUGAAAUAGGAAGGGGGUUCCUGCUCUUGGCUUUUAUCUAGUAUUGCUGUGUGCAUGUCUCACAUGGGCUUUUCUUUGCAUGGCGCUAGUGUAACUGUUUGAAAAAAAACACACACUCUUUGCCCUUGGUAGUUUUCCCUCUUUAUUUAAAAAGAGAAAUAGUUUUGGCCUCUCCUACUUUUCCUUGUCCUCUUUUAAUCUUUCUGUUCUCUAUCUUUCCUCUCUUUCCCUGUCUUUCUCCAAACUUGUGCACAAUGUUUUUAGUCGCUUCCUCCUUUUCCAAAGCUCGUAGAGAAAGGCCUGGAUAUUCCACUAUUCAUACAAUCCCAGGUGGAAGAAGUGGGAGAGAUCUUUUUGUCAAAAAGAAUCAAAGCAAUACCUGUUGUUAACCUUCCUAUUUUAUACAAUAGAAAAAAAGCUAAAAGGAUCACAUCACAUGUAAAGGACAAAAACUAACAAAACACACACACGCACACACAUACACAUACACAUACACAAACACACACACAUACACAAACACACACACACACACACACACACACACAGACAGACCAAACAGAGCAGGAGCGUGCAAAAAUGUAAUCCCCUUGUAACAUAACUGUGAGCAACUUCAGUGCGAAAACAAAUAAACUCAUCCAGUUACUAAGUAUGUGUGUUGCUUGCACUUUUUAUUUCCAUUAACUGUUCAAGCAGUGUCUAGAGGUGGAAAGAUGAAGUGCGCUUCAUAUGAAUAACAAUUCAUCAACCUUGA
This is a long non-coding RNA of Clupea harengus (Atlantic herring), 2599 nucleotides long. The record is from Ensembl. NCBI's taxonomy places the organism in Eukaryota, Metazoa, Chordata, Actinopteri, Clupeiformes, Clupeidae.